CUGAGCUACGUCAUCACGCUCCUGCUGCCUCUCCUUGCCCACCGUGAUGUAUUGUGCCGUGAACUGAGAACGAAAACAAACCCGUUCUUUCCACAGUUGCCCUUGUCAGAGGAUUUUAUCAUAGCAACACUAAAAGAAACUGAGUCAUGUGUCUACACCAUAGUCAGGGGAAGUAAACCCUGAGAUGAGUGAGGUGACAGAAAGUUGGAAUCCCGGGAACUUAAAGGACUUCCCAGAGUGACCACGGCACUAUGCUCGGGGAACUGGGAGACAGGAAAAAGCAUCAGAGAGCCUAAGAGUAAAUUUCCUUUCCUGUUUUAAAGAUCCCUAAAGGGUUUUGAUUCUACCAUUUCCCGCCUUUUUAGGUGAAUGUCUGGAUUAUUGAACCUCAAGGAAUGAGAUUUCUUCAUGUUCCUGACACAUUUGAAGGUCAUUUCCAAGGUGUCCCAGUCAUAUCCAAAGGACAACAGAAGGUACUAGAGAAACUGCACAUUGCCAGCUAUCCCAGUAGUCACUGGGUCCUGACUCUUUUUCUCUUGUGCCCUGGACAGUGGGGGAAAAAAAAGAGAGUGGUCUGAUGGGCUGAGGUCAAAGGCUAGAGUUUCUUUCCUAUUAAAUAUACAAAGAAGCACUCCCAAUUAUGUAAUUUCAUUGUAUCCAUUUUGGAGCCUC
RNAcentral lists this long non-coding RNA (672 nucleotides) under Rattus norvegicus (Norway rat). RNAcentral's name for it is "long non-coding RNA NONRATT012602". Lineage: Eukaryota; Metazoa; Chordata; Mammalia; Rodentia; Muridae. The record is from RNAcentral.